UUGAAAGCGUUUAAGGGCAUCUGGUGGAUGCCUUGGCGCCAGGAGGCGAUGAAGGACGCGGUAGGCAGCGAAAUUCUCUGGGGAGCCGCCAAGCAGGCAUUGAUCCGGAGGUAUCCGAAUGGGGCAACCCGGCUGGAGUCAUAUCCAGUCAUUCCAAGGCCGAAUGCAUAAGCCUUGGAAGGCGAACGCAGGGAAGUGAAACAUCUCAGUACCUGCAGGAGAGGAAAUCAACCGAGAUUCCCGAAGUAGCGGCGAGCGAAACGGGAAGAGGCCAAACCGUGCGGUUUCGACCGUGCGGGGUUGUAGGGCAGUCAUAAGCGAUCCGCAAUUAGAGAGCAGAACAGGUUGGGAAACCUGGCCAUAGAGGGUGAAAGUCCCGUAUGUGGUAUCGAAAGCGGCGUGGACUGUUCCUGAGUACCGCGAGGCACGUGAAACCUCGUGGGAACCUGGGUGGACCAUCAUCCAAGCCUAAAUACUCCCUGGCGACCGAUAGUGUACCAGUACCGUGAGGGAAAGGUGAAAAGAACCCCUGUUAGGGGAGUGCAAUAGAACCUGAAACCGGAUGCCUACAAGCAGUGGGAGCGGACUUGUUCCGUGACCGCAUGCCUUUUGCAUAAUGAGUCAGCGAGUUACUCUGUAGUGCAAGGUUAAGUGUAAAAAACACGGAGCCGAAGCGAAAGCGAGUCUGAAUAGGGCGCAUAGUACUGCGGAGUAGACCCGAAACCACGUGAUCUAUCCAUGAGCAGGUUGAAGCUCAGGUAAAACUGAGUGGAGGACCGAACCGCCGUAAGUUGAAAAUUACCCGGAUGACUUGUGGAUAGGGGUGAAAGGCCAAUCAAACGUGGUGAUAGCUGGUUCUCCCCGAAAUAUAUUGAGGUAUAGCCUCAGGACGAGAUUGACGGAGGUAGAGCACUGACAGGGCUAGGGGCCUUACCCGGUUACCAACCCCUAUCAAACUCCGAAUGCCGUCAAUUGCUUCCUGGGAGUCAGACUGCGGGUGCGAAGGUCCGUAGUCGAAAGGGAAACAGCCCAGAUCGUCAGCUAAGGUCUCUAAAUUCAUGCUCAGUGGAAAAGGUAGUGACGUUGCUUAGACAUCCAGGAGGUUGGCUUAGAAGCAGCCAUCCUUUAAAGAAAGCGUAAUAGCUCACUGGCCUAGCGAUGUUGCGCCGAAAAUGUAUCGGGGCUAAGCAUGAUACCGAAGCUACGGGAGCAUACUAGUUAUGCUCGGUAGGGGAGCGUUCUCAGACGCGACGAAGGUGAACCGGAAGGUUUGCUGGAGUAAUGAGAAGUGAUUAUGCUGACAUGAGUAACGAUAAAACGAGUGAAAAACUCGUUCGCCGUAAGCCCAAGGUUUCCUGGGUAAAGUUAAUCUUCCCAGGGUGAGUCGGUCCCUAAGGCGAGGCAGAAAUGCGUAGUCGAUGGAAAACAGGUUAAUAUUCCUGUACCCGUGUGUGAGCGCGAUGAAGGGACGCAGGAGGGUAGGUUGGCCAGGUGUUGGAUAUCCUGGUGUAAGCCCGUAGGGUUGAGCUGUAGGCAAAUCCGCAGCUCUCCAUGCCCGAGAAGUGAUGCCGUGGCCGCAAGGCCUGAAGCAACUCAUCCCAGACUGCCAAGAAAAGCUUCUAAGUUUAUCACAUACGGACCGUACCGCAAACCGACACAGGUGGGCGGGUCGAGUAGACCAAGGCGCUUGAGAGAACUCUGGUUAAGGAACUCGGCAAAAUGACCCCGUAAGUUCGCGAUAAGGGGUGCUCUCUUAGGUAAUGGUUUAACUUCCAAAGCCCGAGAGAGCCGCAGAGAAUCGGGGGUGGCGACUGUUUACUAAAAACAUAGGUCUGUGCGAAGUCGUAAGACGACGUAUACGGACUGACGCCUGCCCGGUGCCGGAAGGUUAAGGGGUGAGGUUAGGAGCAAUCCGAAGCCUUAAACCGAAGCCCCGGUAAACGGCGGCCGUAACUAUAACGGUCCUAAGGUAGCGAAAUUCCUUGUCGGGUAAGUUCCGACCUGCACGAAUGGCGUAACGAUCUCCCCGCUGUCUCAACCAGAGACUCAGUGAAAUUGAAAUACGGGUGAAAAUGCCCGUUACCCGCGGAAAGACGGAAAGACCCUGUGCACCUUUACUAUAGCUUGACAUUGGGUUUUGAACAAGCAUGUGUAGGAUAGGUGGGAGGCAGUGAACAUGGUGCGCUAGCAUCGUGGGAGCCAACCUUGAAAUACCACCCUUGCUUGUUUAAGAUUCUAAUCCCACACCGUUAUCCGGUUGGGAGACAGUGUCUGGUGGGUAGUUUGACUGGGGCGGUCGCCUCCAAAACAGUAACGGAGGCUUGCAAAGGUUCCCUCAGCCUGAUCGGAAACCAGGCGUUGAGUGCAAAAGCAUAAGGGAGCUUGACUGCGAGAGAGACAUCUCGAGCAGGGACGAAAGUCGGCUUUAGUGAUCCGGUGGUCCCGCAUGGAAGGGCCAUCGCUCAUAGGAUAAAAGGUACGCCGGGGAUAACAGGCUGAUCGCAUCCAAGAGUUCACAUCGACGAUGCGGUUUGGCACCUCGAUGUCGGCUCAUCACAUCCUGGGGCUGAAGCAGGUCCCAAGGGUACGGCUGUUCGCCGUUUAAAGUGGUACGCGAGCUGGGUUUAAAACGUCGUGAGACAGUUUGGUCCCUAUCUUCCGUGGGCGUAGGAGAAUUGAAGAGGGGCUGCCCCUAGUACGAGAGGACCGGGGUGGACGAACCUAUGGUGUUCCUGUUGUCGCGCCAGCGGCAUUGCAGGGUAGCUAAGUUCGGAAGGAAUAACCGCUGAAAGCAUCUAAGCGGGAAAUCUGCCUCAAGAUGAGUUCUCCCUCAGCUUCGGCUGCUAAAGACUCCCGGUAGACCACCGGGUUGAUAGGCCGGCUGUGUAAGCGUGGUGACACGUUCAGCUAACCGGUACUAAUAAGUCGUGCGGCUUUUGACA
Molecule: ribosomal RNA, 2942 nt
Rfam family: Bacterial large subunit ribosomal RNA
Source: Rfam